AGCAGCCGCGGUAAUUCCAGCUCCAAUAGCGUAUAUUAAAGUUGUUGCAGUUAAAAAGCUCGUAGUUGAAUUUCGAGACCGGUUUACUGGUCGUGCUUUUGUACGUACUGGUAUAAUCGGUUUCUCUUUUCUGACGAACUAUAAUGCCAUUAAUUUGGUGUUAUAGGGAAUCAGGACUGUUACUUUGAAAAAUUAGAGUGUUUAAAGCAGGCUCACGCUUGAAUACAUUAGCAUGGAAUAACGAAAUAGGACGUUUGAUUUUAUUUUGUUGGUUUCUAGGAUCGACGUAAUGAUUAAUAGGGAUAGUUGGGGGCAUUAGUAUUCAAUUGUCAGAGGUGAAAUUCUUGGAUUUAUUGAAGACUAACUACUGCGAAAGCAUUUGCCAAGGAUGUUUUCAUUAAUCAAGAACGAAAGUUAGGGGAUCGAAGACGAUCAGAUACCGUCGUAGUCUUAACCAUAAACAAUGCCGACUAGGGAUCGGAUGAUGUUAAUAUUAAUGACUCAUUCGGCACCUUACGGG
RNAcentral lists this ribosomal RNA (520 nucleotides) under uncultured Glomus. RNAcentral describes it as "SSU rRNA". It matches the Rfam family "Eukaryotic small subunit ribosomal RNA", at positions 569 to 1094 of the family's 1831-position model. Lineage: Eukaryota; Fungi; Glomeromycota; Glomeromycetes; Glomerales; Glomeraceae. The record is from RNAcentral.